This 253-nucleotide ribosomal RNA is filed under the name uncultured bacterium. Its description in RNAcentral is "partial 16S ribosomal RNA". It matches the Rfam family "Bacterial small subunit ribosomal RNA", at positions 524 to 776 of the family's 1533-position model. The record is from RNAcentral.
UACGUAGGGGGCAAGCGUUGUCCGGAUUUAUUGGGCGUAAAGAGCGUGUAGGCGGCUUUACAGGUCCGUUGUGAAAACUCGAGGCUCAACCUCGAGACGCCGGUGGAAACCGUAAAGCUAGAGUCCGGAAGAGGAGAGUGGAAUUCCUGGUGUAGCGGUGAAAUGCGCAGAUAUCAGGAGGAACACCGGUGGCGAAGGCGGGUCUCUGGGCAACAACUGACGCUGAGGAGCGAAAGCGUGGGGAGCGAACAGG